GGGAUGCAGCGGGGUGGAAACGCGCACCUUUGUCCGUUGUUUCUGUAUCGUCGCAGGUGGGACGCGUCACCGGUUUAGGUUCGAGUCCCACCCGCCCCACCA
This 102-nucleotide transfer RNA is filed under the name Streptomyces fulvorobeus. RNAcentral describes it as "tRNA-OTHER". Lineage: Bacteria; Bacillati; Actinomycetota; Actinomycetes; Kitasatosporales; Streptomycetaceae. The record is from RNAcentral.